Molecule: long non-coding RNA, 246 nt
Organism: Etheostoma cragini (Arkansas darter)
Lineage: Eukaryota; Metazoa; Chordata; Actinopteri; Perciformes; Percidae
Exons: 3
Source: RefSeq, a predicted model, not a curated record
ACCUGACUUCGUUGUUGUUGUGCAGGAGACCCGGGAGCAGAGGAUCACUCAGUACCAUGAAGAAGCCGACACCCCAUGUGUCCUGGGUCUGAGGGAGGGGUCCCUGCUGCUGGUGGAGGGAGACAAAGCCACGCUACUGGGAACCACCAAGGCCAGACUCUUCACCAGGGGAAAGCCCACAUUGGAGUACGACCCUGGUAGUGACCUCAGCUUCCUGCUGACACGUUGACCAAUCAGAAGAAAGCA